GAAAGUAUGUAGGUAGGAAUGCUAGGCAAAUCCGGUGUUCUGUUGAUCUGAGAUACGAGACGAAGUUAAACUUGUUUGACGAAGCUAUUGAUACCAUGCUUCCAGGAAAAGCUUCUAAGUAUAUUGUAUAAGUGACCGUACUGUAAACCGACACUGGUGGGUAGGUAGAGAAUACUAAGGCUAUGAGAUAACUCUGGUGAAGGAACUAGGCAAAAUGACACCGUAACUUUGGAAGAAGGUGUGCCCUUGAUGGUGAUGAGACUUGCUCUUUGAGCUGUUGGGGGUUGCAGAUACCAGGUGGCUGCGACUGUUUAUCAAAAACACAGCACUCUGCGAAAUCGUAAGAUGAAGUAUAGGGUGUGACGCCUGCCCGGUGCUGGAAGGUUAAUUGAAGGGGUUAGCGCAAGCGAAGCUCUGGAUCGAAGCCCCAGUAAACGGCGGCCGUAACUAUAACGGUCCUAAGGUAGCGAAAUUCCUUGUCGGGUAAGUUCCGACCUGCACGAAUGGCGUAACGAUGGCCACACUGUCUCCACCAGAGACUCAGUGAAAUUGAAAUCGCUGUGAAGAUGCAGUGUACCCGCGGUUAGACGGAAAGACCCCGUGAACCUUUACUAUAGCUUUGCACUGGACUUUGAAUAUUUAUGUGUAGGAUAGGUGGGAGACCAUGAAGCAGCUACGCCAGUAGUUGUGGAGUCGUCCUUGAAAUACCACCCUUGAAUAUUUGAAGUUCUAAC
This 734-nucleotide ribosomal RNA is filed under the name Francisella tularensis subsp. holarctica. RNAcentral's name for it is "partial 23S ribosomal RNA". It matches the Rfam family "Bacterial large subunit ribosomal RNA", at positions 1512 to 2226 of the family's 2925-position model. The record is from RNAcentral. Lineage: Bacteria; Pseudomonadati; Pseudomonadota; Gammaproteobacteria; Thiotrichales; Francisellaceae.